This 22-nucleotide microRNA is filed under the name Ornithorhynchus anatinus (platypus). Its description in RNAcentral is "Oan-Mir-873-v1_5p (mature (guide))". RNAcentral also lists the same sequence under 17 other names. The record is from RNAcentral. Lineage: Eukaryota; Metazoa; Chordata; Mammalia; Monotremata; Ornithorhynchidae.
UGCAGGAACUUGUGAGUCUCCU